GCAGAAAGAUUUCUGACGGGAGUCUUCUUUGUUUCUAGUCAGAAAAAGAAAGAAAAAAAAAAUCUGGAGCCGAUUGAGGAGGAAGACUCCCGUCGGGAGUUUCUUUGUUUCUGGCUCUAUAAAACGCUCUGCUCCAAAACCCCAUCCCGUUGGACAGGAGUCUUCUUUAUUUCCGGCUCUAUGAAACGCUCUGCUCCAAAACCCCUUCCCGUUGCUCUGCUCCAAAACCCCG
RNAcentral lists this long non-coding RNA (232 nucleotides) under Elaeis guineensis (African oil palm). Its description in RNAcentral is "long non-coding RNA (EGUI_LNC028642)". Lineage: Eukaryota; Viridiplantae; Streptophyta; Magnoliopsida; Arecales; Arecaceae. The record is from RNAcentral.